This 688-nucleotide ribosomal RNA is filed under the name Aureobasidium sp. RNAcentral describes it as "partial large subunit ribosomal RNA". It matches the Rfam family "Eukaryotic large subunit ribosomal RNA", at positions 76 to 784 of the family's 3401-position model. Lineage: Eukaryota; Fungi; Ascomycota; Dothideomycetes; Dothideales; Saccotheciaceae. The record is from RNAcentral.
UGCCCUAGUAACGGCGAGUGAAGCGGCAACAGCUCAAAUUUGAAAGCUAGCCUUCGGGUUCGCAUUGUAAUUUGUAGAGGAUGCUUUGGGUAAAACGCCAGUCUAAGUUCCUUGGAACAGGACGUCAUAGAGGGUGAGAAUCCCGUAUGUGACUGGAAAUGUUAACCUAUGUAAAGCUCCUUCGACGAGUCGAGUUGUUUGGGAAUGCAGCUCUAAAUGGGAGGUAAAUUUCUUCUAAAGCUAAAUAUUGGCGAGAGACCGAUAGCGCACAAGUAGAGUGAUCGAAAGAUGAAAAGCACUUUGGAAAGAGAGUUAAAAAGCACGUGAAAUUGUUGAAAGGGAAGCGCUUGCAAUCAGACUUGUUUAAACUGUUCGGCCGGUCUUCUGACCGGUUUACUCAGUUUGGACAGGCCAGCAUCAGUUUCGGCGGCCGGAUAAAGGCUCUGGGAAUGUGGCCUCCACUUCGGUGGAGGUGUUAUAGCCCAGUGUGUAAUACGGCCAGCCGGGACUGAGGUCCGCGCUUCGGCUAGGAUGCUGGCGUAAUGGUUGUAAGCGACCCGUCUUGAAACACGGACCAAGGAGUCUAACAUCUAUGCGAGUGUUCGGGUGUCAAACCCCUGCGCGUAAUGAAAGUGAACGGAGGUGGGAACCGCAAGGUGCACCAUCGACCGAUCCUGAUGUCUUCGGA